CCAUGAUAGGGUCGGGAUUGGCUGGCUCUGGAGGCGCAGGUGGUCCUUCUUCUACUGUCACAUGGUGCGCGCUGUUUUCUAAUCACGUGGCUGCCACCCAGCGUAGGCCGCAUGAGUGGGGGGCGGGC
Molecule: unclassified non-coding RNA, 128 nt
Filed under: Homo sapiens (human)
Lineage: Eukaryota; Metazoa; Chordata; Mammalia; Primates; Hominidae
Description: cutA divalent cation tolerance homolog (ENSG00000226492.7)
Source: RNAcentral